GAACUUGUUAAAACAAAUGGGUUUGAGCAUGUUGUUGAAGUGAUUGAGGGGUCAAUGGAAGAUAUUACUCUGCCUGAGAAGGUUGAUGUAAUCAUUUCAGAGUGGAUGGGAUACUUCCUUCUACGUGAAUCAAUGUUUGACUCAGUUAUCUGUGCUCGGGAUCGUUGGUUGAACCCAGAUGGAGUUAUGUACCCAAGCCAUGCUCGAAUGUGGG
RNAcentral lists this unclassified non-coding RNA (214 nucleotides) under Hevea brasiliensis (rubber tree). The record is from RNAcentral. Lineage: Eukaryota; Viridiplantae; Streptophyta; Magnoliopsida; Malpighiales; Euphorbiaceae.